This 75-nucleotide transfer RNA is filed under the name Microcaldota archaeon. RNAcentral describes it as "tRNA-Lys". It matches the Rfam family "tRNA". From Rfam's summary of the family: Transfer RNA (tRNA) molecules are approximately 80 nucleotides in length. Their secondary structure includes four short double-helical elements and three loops (D, anti-codon, and T loops). Further hydrogen bonds mediate the characteristic L-shaped molecular structure. tRNAs have two regions of fundamental functional importance: the anti-codon, which is responsible for specific mRNA codon recognition, and the 3' end, to which the tRNAs corresponding amino acid is attached (by aminoacyl-tRNA synthetases). tRNAs cope with the degeneracy of the genetic code in two manners: having more than one tRNA (with a specific anti-codon) for a particular amino acid; and 'wobble' base-pairing, i.e. permitting non-standard base-pairing at the 3rd anti-codon position. The record is from RNAcentral. Lineage: Archaea; Nanobdellati; Microcaldota.
GGGCUCGUAGCUCAGCCUGGCUAGAGCACCUGGCUUUUAACCAGGGGGUCGUGGGUUCGAAUCCCGCCGAGCCCG